Molecule: ribosomal RNA, 879 nt
Filed under: uncultured bacterium
Lineage: Bacteria
Description: bacterial SSU rRNA
Rfam family: Bacterial small subunit ribosomal RNA
Source: RNAcentral
GGCUUAGAGUUUGAUCAUGGCUCAGAGUGAACGCUGGCGGCGUGCCUAAUACAUGCAAGUCGAACGAUGAAGCUUUUAGCUUGCUAGAAGUGGAUUAGUGGCGCACGGGUGAGUAAUGCAUAGGUUAUGUGCCCUUUAGUCUGGGAUAGCCACUGGAAACGGUGAUUAAUACUAGAUACUCCCUACGGGGGAAAGUUUUUCGCUAAAGGAUCAGCCUAUGUCCUAUCAGCUUGUUGGUGAGGUAAUGGCUCACCAAGGCUAUGACGGGUAUCCGGCCUGAGAGGGUGAUCGGACACACUGGAACUGAGACACGGUCCAGACUCCUACGGGAGGCAGCAGUAGGGAAUAUUGCUCAAUGGGGGAAACCCUGAAGCAGCAACGCCGCGUGGAGGAUGAAGGUUUUCGGAUUGUAAACUCCUUUUGUUAGAGAAGAUAAUGACGGUAUCUAACGAAUAAGCACCGGCUAACUCCGUGCCAGCAGCCGCGGUAAUACGGAGGGUGCAAGCGUUACUCGGAAUCACUGGGCGUAAAGAGCGCGUAGGCGGGGUAGUAAGUCAGAUGUGAAAUCCUAUGGCUUAACCAUAGAACUGCAUUUGAAACUACUACUCUAGAGUAUGGGAGAGGUAGGUGGAAUUCUUGGUGUAGGGGUAAAAUCCGUAGAGAUCAAGAGGAAUACUCAUUGCGAAGGCGACCUGCUGGAACAUUACUGACGCUGAUGCGCGAAAGCGUGNGGAGCAAACAGGAUUAGAUACCCUGGUAGUCCACGCCCUAAACGAUGAAUGCUAGUUGUUGUGAGGCUUGUCCUUGCAGUAAUGCAGCUAACGCAUUAAGCAUUCCCGCCUGGGAGUACGGUCGNCAGAUUAAACUNCAAGGAAUAGA